UACGUAGGGGGCUAGCGUUGUCCGGAAUCAUUGGGCGUAAAGCGCGUGUAGGCGGCCCGAUAAGUCCGCUGUGAAAGUCCAGGGCUCAACCCUGGGAUGCCGGUGGAUACUGUCGGGCUCGAGUCCGGAAGAGGCGAGUGGAAUUCCUGGUGUAGCGGUGAAAUGCGCAGAUAUCAGGAGGAACACCAAUGGCGAAGGCAGCUCGCUGGGACGUGACUGACGCUGAGACGCGAAAGCGUGGGGAGCAGACAGG
Molecule: ribosomal RNA, 253 nt
Filed under: uncultured bacterium
Lineage: Bacteria
Description: partial 16S ribosomal RNA
Rfam family: Bacterial small subunit ribosomal RNA
Source: RNAcentral